GUUGCUUAGCCUCAAUGACAUGCGCCGUCUUGACUUUCUCAUUGUCUAGCAUGUCGUGGCUUUUAGCUAUAUGCAUUAUCAGGCUAUAACAGUGCUGGGAUAGCUCAUAUUUCUCUAUAACCUUUUAAAUUAAAUUAAAUUAGGUUAAAUUAAAUAGGAAACAAAUCAGCAUUGUAACUCUCUCUGUUCUCUACGAGGUGACUUAUACUCUUUGAGUUCUCCAUGUGAAGCCC
This 233-nucleotide long non-coding RNA is filed under the name Elaeis guineensis (African oil palm). RNAcentral's name for it is "long non-coding RNA (EGUI_LNC006762)". The record is from RNAcentral. Lineage: Eukaryota; Viridiplantae; Streptophyta; Magnoliopsida; Arecales; Arecaceae.